Pelobates cultripes (western spadefoot toad) is the source of this 2221-nucleotide non-coding RNA. The record is from the annotation of a GenBank genome assembly. NCBI's taxonomy places the organism in Eukaryota, Metazoa, Chordata, Amphibia, Anura, Pelobatidae.
AACGGCCCCUAUGUGUUGCAGGUGCUCUGCCCAGGUCUGGCUAUAUAUGGCGAUAUUGUCCAGGUGUGCGCAUGCAUAUUCCUGGAACCCGUCCAGUAGCCGAUCUACCAUCCUUUGAAAGGUCGUCGGGGCGUUUUUCAUCCCGAACGGCAUGACCCGAAAUUGGUACAGGCCAAACGGGGUGACAAACGCCGACUUGGGGAUGGCAUCCUUGGCUAGUGGAAUUUGCCAGUAUCCCUUACAUAAAUCUAUGGUAGUGAGAUACUGACCAAUUGCCAUCUUAUCCAGCAGCUCGUCUAUCCGGGGCAUCGGAGAGGCAUCAGACACAGUUUUGUCAUUUAGCCUCUGGUAGUCAACACAAAAACGUGUCGUGCCAUCCUUCUUAGGUACCAGCACUACCGGCGAUGCCCAGGGGCUAUCGGAAUGUUCAAUAACACCUAGCUGCAACAUUUCCUCAAUCUCUUUCCUCAUAUGUUCCCUGACUGCUUCAGGGAUACGAUAUGGGGUCUGUGAGUGGCUAGCGGAGUGUACCCGGGCAAAUUGGAGAAGGUGGCUCCUUUAGCCGUGAUCAACUCUUGUACCUGAGCCCGCUCCUGAGGGCUUAGCCGCUCCCCCAGCUGAACCCCCGUGGAGGGCUCUGUCUGGUCAUCCUGUUCUAAUAGGUCAGGUAGUGGCAGGUUCUCCUGAUCCUCAGAGGCGGAGGCGCAUAUUGCUGCCACGUUCUCUAUCCUCUCAUGAUAGGGUUUGAGCAUAUUCACGUGGAGCAUGCGUGGAGCAGGGGCCAAUCACAUAGGUGGUGUCACAUCUCUGUUCCACCACCUGGUAUGGGCCCUGCCAGCCCCUGCAGCUUCUCUGUGCGGACCGGUUUUAAAAUCAACACCUUCUGUCCCACUUGAAAGCUGCGGUCUCUGGCUCCCUUAUCGUACCAGCGGCACUGGAGUUGUUGGGCCACCUGGAUGUUGGUGCGCACGGCCUGGGUUAGUGCCUCCAAGCGGUCCCUGAACUCCAGCACGUAUGGUACAAUGGGGGUCCUAUCUGUGGUACUCUCUCCCUCCCAAUGCUCUCUAAUUAAGUCUAACGGCCCUCACACCCUUCUCCCAAACAGCAAUUCGAACGGGGAAAAUCCUGUCGACUCCUGGGGUACCUCCCUAUAGGCGAAGAGCAGAUGGGGUAGAAAUCGCUCCCAGUCCAAACGUACGGAGCAUCUGUUUCAGGGUACCGUUAAAUCUUUCGCAUAAACCAUUGGACUGGGGGUGAUACGUGGAAUUUACUAUCGGCUUAAUGCCCCAUAUCUUCCACAGUUGUUGGGUGACCUCGGCGGUGAACUGGGUACCCCUAUCGGAUAUGAUCUCUUGGGGAAACCCCACCCUGGAGAAUAUUUUCAUUAAGGCCUCGGCCACAGUUUCUGCGUGAAUGUUGGAGAGGGCGAUGGCCUUGGGGUACCGGGUGGCGUAGUCCGCUGUAUCUUGACUGGAGUCUCACCGUCUUCUUUCCACCCUGGAUCAGCUUCUGUCCUCCAGGACUGUGUGGGAAAGAACUCUUCCUUCCACCCUGUACGAACCUCCAGCAUCCAGGACUGUGUGGUGAAGACCCCUCCUCCAAGGAGAACGUGUCAGGAACAAGCUCUUAAAAGAGCUAAGUGAUUCAAGCUCAGGGGAGCAUGCAGAGCAUAGCAAUCCCCAGUGUGAUUAUAACAGCUCCCUCCAAUAAUGAGACAAGGCUACAUUUAGAGGGAUCAAGAAGAACUGUCUAAACCUUUAUUUCCCUUGGGACCAGCCCAUAGGGUCACCACAAUAACAUUGUAGUGAAACAUCAAUAAAAUCAAAAACAGUCAAACCAUAGCAGGCAACACACAGUGACUUAUCACAACACAAUGGCACAUUUUUAAAGGGGUGGGGGAGACAAUAUUUAACAGUAAAUAUCUCACCUGCCUGCAGAAUUAGCAAUAUGUAAAUCUACCCGAAUAUGCAAAUGCACCAGUCUUGCAAUUCAGGUAGUGCAUAUUACUGUUGCUACCAACAGAGGGCACUAGACAAGCUCCAUAGACAAACCCACCUAGUUGGUAGCAAACCUCAGCAGUACAGGAGAGCAGGCAAUACAUUUCACAGUACACACACACACUAUAAACAAUUACAUUACACACACCCUGCACCUAUAAUGGGUACAGGGUGACUAAAACAUAAGAUAAAUAAAGCAGCCUACAUAAAUAGUCUGUCUGAAG